Molecule: ribosomal RNA, 465 nt
Filed under: uncultured bacterium
Lineage: Bacteria
Description: partial 16S ribosomal RNA
Rfam family: Bacterial small subunit ribosomal RNA
Source: RNAcentral
GACGAACGCUGGCGGCGUGCUUAACACAUGCAAGUCGAACGGAAAGGCCCUGCUUGCAGGGUACUCGAGUGGCGAACGGGUGAGUAACACGUGGGUGAUCUGCCCUGCACUUCGGGAUAAGCCUGGGAAGCUGGGUCUAAUACCGGAUAGGAGCCAUUUUUAGUGUGAUGGUUGGAAAGUUUUUUCGGUGUAGGAUGAGCUCGCGGCCUAUCAGCUUGUUGGUGGGGUAAUGGCCUACCAAGGCGGCGACGGGUAGCCGGCCUGAGAGGGUGGACGGCCACAUUGGGACUGAGAUACGGCCCAGACUCCUACGGGAGGCAGCAGUGGGGAAUAUUGCACAAUGGGCGCAAGCCUGGUGCAGCGACGCCGCGUGGGGGAUGACGGCCUUCGGGUUGUAAACUCCUUUCGCUAGGGACGAAGCUUUUUGUGACGGUACCUAGAUAAGAAGCACCGGCUAACUACGUG